GAGUCACUUGUGAAAAGCUCUGAGGGCAUGCAGGGCACUGAAAUGGCCUCUCGCCUGUGUGGGUGCGCAGGUGUUCGUUCAGACUACUCUUUUGUGAGAAGCUCUGGGGGCAUGAGGGGCAGUGAUGAGGCAUAUUGCCUGUGUGGGUGUGCAAGUGUCGGUUUAAGGUACUCUUUUGUGAGAAGCUCCGAGAGCAUGAAGGGCACUGAUAUGGCCUGUCACCUGUGUGGGUGCGCAGGUGGUUCUUCAGUGCAGAUUGGUCUGAGAAGCUUUGAGAGCAUGAAGUGCACUGAAAUGGCCUCUCGCCUGUGUGGGUGCGCAGGUG
Dermacentor silvarum is the source of this 325-nucleotide long non-coding RNA. RefSeq lists it as uncharacterized. The transcript is spliced from 3 exons. NCBI's taxonomy places the organism in Eukaryota, Metazoa, Arthropoda, Arachnida, Ixodida, Ixodidae. The record is from RefSeq and is a predicted model, not a curated record.